CUUAAGCAUAUCAAUAAGCAGAGGAAAAGAAACUACCAAGGAUUCCCCUAGUAACUGCGAGUGAAGCGGGAAAAGCUCAAAUUUAAAAUCUGGUGGUCUUUUGGCCGUCCGAGUUGUAAUUUAGAGAAGCAUCUUCCGCGCUGAACCGUGUAUAAGUCUCCUGGAAUGGAGCGUCAUAGAGGGUGAGAAUCCCGUCUUUGGCACGGAUAUCUCAGGGCUUUUGUGAUAUGCUCUCAAAGAGUCGAGUUGUUUGGGAAUGCAGCUCAAAAUGGGUGGUGAACUCCAUCUAAAGCUAAAUAUUGGCAAGAGACCGAUAGCGAACAAGUACCGUGAGGGAAAGAUGAAAAGCACUUUGGAAAGAGAGUGAAACAGUACGUGAAAUUGUUGAAAGGGAAACACUUGAAGUCAGUCAUAUUAACCAAGACUCAGCCUUGCCCUUGGCUUGGUGUAAUUCUUGGUUGAUAGGCCAACAUCAAUUUUGGUUCUUGGAUAAUGGUAAAAGAAAUGUGGCACCUUUUAUGGUGUGUUAUACGUCUCUUAUCGGAUACAAGGGUUGAGAUUGAGGAACUCAGCAUGCACCUUUUGGUGUUGGGGCUUUGCUCACAAUACAUGCU
RNAcentral lists this ribosomal RNA (614 nucleotides) under uncultured Russula. RNAcentral's name for it is "eukaryotic LSU rRNA". It matches the Rfam family "Eukaryotic large subunit ribosomal RNA", at positions 33 to 646 of the family's 3401-position model. The record is from RNAcentral. Lineage: Eukaryota; Fungi; Basidiomycota; Agaricomycetes; Russulales; Russulaceae.